This 343-nucleotide unclassified non-coding RNA is filed under the name soil metagenome. RNAcentral describes it as "partial contains 5.8S ribosomal RNA, internal transcribed spacer 2, and large subunit ribosomal RNA". The stretch from base 5 to 119 matches the Rfam family "5.8S ribosomal RNA", at positions 40 to 154 of the family's 154-position model. The record is from RNAcentral.
GAUGAGAACGCAGCGAAAUGCGAUACGUAAUGUGAAUUGCAGAAUUCAGUGAAUCAUCGAGUCUUUGAACGCACAUUGCGCCCCCUGGUAUUCCGGGGGGCAUGCCUGUCCGAGCGUCAUUGCUGCCCUCAAGCACGGCUUGUGUGUUGGGCCUCCGUCCUCCUCCCGGGGGACGGGCCCGAAAGGCAGCGGCGGCACCGCGUCCGGUCCUCGAGCGUAUGGGGCUUCGUCACCCGCUCUUGUAGGCCCGGCCGGCGCUUGCCGACACAUCAAUCUUUUUUCCAGGUUGACCUCGGAUCAGGUAGGGAUACCCGCUGAACUUAAGCAUAUCAUAAGCGGAGGA